CCUACGGGCGGCUGCAGUGGGGAAUAUUGGACAAUGGGGGCAACCCUGAUCCAGCCAUGCCGCGUGUGUGAAGAAGGCCCUCGGGUUGUAAAGCACUUUCAGUGAGGAAGAACGCCUGGUGGUUAAUACCCAUCAGGAAAGACAUCACUCACAGAAGAAGCACCGGCUAACUCCGUGCCAGCAGCCGCGGUAAUACGGAGGGUGCGAGCGUUAAUCGGAAUUACUGGGCGUAAAGCGCGCGUAGGUGGCUUGAUAAGCCGGUUGUGAAAGCCCCGGGCUCAACCUGGGAACGGCAUCCGGAACUGUCAAGCUAGAGUGCAGGAGAGGAAGGUAGAAUUCCCGGUGUAGCGGUGAAAUGCGUAGAGAUCGGGAGGAAUACCAGUGGCGAAGGCGGCCUUCUAGACUGACCCUGACACUGAGGUGCGAAAGCGUGGGUAGCAAACAGGAUUAGAUACCCUUGUAGUC
RNAcentral lists this ribosomal RNA (465 nucleotides) under Vreelandella stevensii. RNAcentral describes it as "partial 16S ribosomal RNA". It matches the Rfam family "Bacterial small subunit ribosomal RNA", at positions 338 to 795 of the family's 1533-position model. The record is from RNAcentral. Lineage: Bacteria; Pseudomonadati; Pseudomonadota; Gammaproteobacteria; Oceanospirillales; Halomonadaceae.